This 710-nucleotide ribosomal RNA is filed under the name uncultured bacterium. Its description in RNAcentral is "bacterial SSU rRNA". It matches the Rfam family "Bacterial small subunit ribosomal RNA", at positions 104 to 810 of the family's 1533-position model. The record is from RNAcentral.
GGGUGAGUAACACGUAUGCAACCUGCCCCCGCCAGGGGUACAACCCUCCGAAAGGGGGGCUGAUACCGCGUACAUCCCCUGGGGGCAUCCCCGGGGGAGGAAAGCCCUUUUGGGCGGGCGGGGAUGGGCAUGCGGCGCAUUAGGAAGACGGCGGUGUGACGGACCACCGUUCCGACGAUGCGUAGGGGUUCUGAGAGGAAGGCCCCCCACACUGGUACUGAGACACGGACCAGACUCCUACGGGAGGCAGCAGUGAGGAAUAUUGGUCAAUGGCCGGAAGGCUGAACCAGCCAAGCCGCGUGAGGGAGGAAGGCGCAGAGCGUCGCAGACCUCUUUUGCCGGGGGACAAAAGGCCGGACUCGUCCGGUCCUGAGGGUACCCGGAGAAAAAGCAUCGGCUAACUCCGUGCCAGCAGCCGCGGUAAUACGGAGGAUGCGAGCGUUAUCCGGAUUCAUUGGGUUUAAAGGGUGCGCAGGCGGGCCUUUAAGCCGGCGGUGAAAUCGCGGGGCUCAACCCCGCCGAGCCGUCGGAACUGGGGGCCUUGAGUGCGGCGGAGGCAUGCGGAAUGCGCGGUGUAGCGGUGAAAUGCAUAGAUAUCGCGCAGAACCCCGAUUGCGAAGGCAGCGUGCCGUGCCGCCACUGACGCUGAGGCACGAAAGCGCGGGGAUCGAACAGGAUUAGAUACCCUGGUAGUCCGCGCCGUAAACGAU